UACGAAGGGGGCUAGCGUUGCUCGGAAUGACUGGGCGUAAAGGGCGCGUAGGCGGAUGGCACAGUCAGAUGUGAAAUUCCCGGGCUUAACCUGGGGGCUGCAUUUGAUACGUGUUGUCUUGAGUUCGGAAGAGGGUCGUGGAAUUCCCAGUGUAGAGGUGAAAUUCGUAGAUAUUGGGAAGAACACCGGUGGCGAAGGCGGCGACCUGGGCCGACACUGACGCUGAGGCGCGAAAGCGUGGGGAGCAAACAGG
Molecule: ribosomal RNA, 253 nt
Filed under: uncultured bacterium
Lineage: Bacteria
Description: partial 16S ribosomal RNA
Rfam family: Bacterial small subunit ribosomal RNA
Source: RNAcentral